RNAcentral lists this ribosomal RNA (393 nucleotides) under uncultured bacterium. RNAcentral's name for it is "partial 16S ribosomal RNA". It matches the Rfam family "Bacterial small subunit ribosomal RNA", at positions 523 to 918 of the family's 1533-position model. The record is from RNAcentral.
AUACGGAGGAUGCGAGCGUUAUCCGGAUUUAUUGGGUUUAAAGGGUGCGUAGGCUGUGCGUUAAGUCAGGGGUGAAAUGCCGUCGCUCAACGACGGAGCUGCCCUUGAUACUGGCGUGCUGGAGUACGGAUGCCGUUGGAGGAAUGAGUGGUGUAGCGGUGAAAUGCUUAGAUAUCACUCAGAACACCGAUUGCGAAGGCAUCUGACGAAUCCGUCACUGACGCUGAGGCACGAAAGCGUGGGGAUAGAACAGAAUUAGAUACCCUGGUAUUCCACGCCGUAAACGAUGAUGACUAACCGUCGGCGAUAGACAGCCGGUGGCCAAGCGAAAGCGAUAAGUCAUCCACCUGGGGAGUACGUCGGCAACGAUGAAACUCAAAUGAAUUGACGGGG